Long non-coding RNA from Bos taurus (domestic cattle), 1089 nucleotides. NCBI's taxonomy places the organism in Eukaryota, Metazoa, Chordata, Mammalia, Artiodactyla, Bovidae. The record is from Ensembl.
CAUUGAAGUGUGCUUAUAUUAUACUAAUAUACAAUAUUAUAUGAUACUGAAGCUCCAAUACUUUGGCAAGCUGAUGCAAAGAGGUGACUCAUUGGAAAAGACCUUGACACUGGGAAAGAUUGAAGGCAAAAGGGAAAGGGGGUGGAAGUGGAUGAGAUGGUUAGAUAGCAUCAUGACAAAGGACAUGAGUUUGACCAAACUCCAGGAGAUGGUGGAGGACAGAGGAACCUGGCGUGCUGCAGUCCAUGAGGUCGCAAAGAGUCAGACACGACUUAGAGACUGAACAACAAUGAAAAUAUGAUGUGUUACAGGUGUCCAAUAUAGUGAUUCACAAUUUUUAACAGUUAUUCUCCAUUUAUAGUUAUUAUAAAGUAUUAGCUAUAUUUCCCAUGUUGUACAAUAUAUCCUUGUAACUUAUUUUACACAUAAUAGUUUGUACCUCUAAAUUCCCUACCCCUACAUUGCCCCCCUUUCUUCUCCCCACUAAUAACCAUUAAUUUGUUCUCUGUAUCUCUAAGUCUGCUUUUACUUUUUGUUAUAUUCACUACUUCUAUUUUUUAGAUUUCACAUAUAAGUGAUAUACAGUAUUUGUCUUUCUCUGACUUAAUUCACUUAGAAUAAUACUCUCCAAGUCCAUCCAUAUUGCUGCAAAUGGCAAAAUUUCAUUCCUUUUUUAUGGCCGAGUGGUAUUUCAUUAUAUAUAUAAUGCCACAUCUUCUUUAUCUAUUCAUUUGUUGCUUCCAUAUCUUGGCAACUGUAAAUGAUGCUGCUAUGAAUAUUGGAGUCCAUAUAUCUUUUCACAAUUCCAUCUAGCUAUAAUCAAAUAACUCCAGAAAAUGUCUCAAGAUUUAUUGUAAUAGGUACAUACUGCCUCUUGGUUUUUGUUGUUCUUAAGUGAAUUUAUCACUAGCUAGAAUAAUGUCUAUUGUAUCUUACAGGCAGCAGCAAGAUACUAUUGAAAGAACAGGAAAUGAAGUCAAAAGAUUUGUAUUCCAGUUUUAAUUCUGGCUGUUAUUGGUGUGAUGAUCAUGAAGAAAUCACUCAAUCUCCUAUUCAUUCAUUCAGUGCCUAAUUUGUACUAGUCACCAA